GAUGGAGAGGGAGACUGAUCUCACAAGCCAAUUGUGUAAGACAAUAAUACAAAGAUGUGGAUGCUCAUUAGAGAAUGAGUUCACUGAAUUGUUUUGACUUAAAAAAUAUCUUAUGGAAUCUAUUUACCCAUUAAAAGAUGUUUUCUUAUAAUGUGAGUUGUGCAUGUAAUCUUUUGACCUGAGACUACAAUAGAAUCUUAU
This 201-nucleotide long non-coding RNA is filed under the name Elaeis guineensis (African oil palm). RNAcentral's name for it is "long non-coding RNA (EGUI_LNC068013)". The record is from RNAcentral. Lineage: Eukaryota; Viridiplantae; Streptophyta; Magnoliopsida; Arecales; Arecaceae.